GAUGAACGCUGGCGGCGUGCCUAAUACAUGCAAGUCGAGCGAACAGACGAGGAGCUUGCUCCUCUGACGUUAGCGGCGGACGGGUGAGUAACACGUGGAUAACCUACCUAUAAGACUGGGAUAACUUCGGGAAACCGGAGCUAAUACCGGAUAAUAUAUUGAACCGCAUGGUUCAAUAGUGAAAGACGGUUUUGCUGUCACUUAUAGAUGGAUCCGCGCCGCAUUAGCUAGUUGGUAAGGUAAAGGCUUACCAAGGCAACGAUGCGUAGCCGACCUGAGAGGGUGAUCGGCCACACUGGAGCUGAGACACGGUCCAGACUCCUACGGGAGGCAGCAGUAGGGAAUCUUCCGCAAUGGGCGAAAGCCUGACGGAGCAACGCCGCGUGAGUGAUGAAGGUCUUCGGAUCGUAAAACUCUGUUAUUAGGGAAGAACAAAUGUGUAAGUAGCUAUGCACGCCUUGACGGUACCUAAUCAGAAAGCCACGGCUAACUACGUG
This 497-nucleotide ribosomal RNA is filed under the name uncultured bacterium. RNAcentral's name for it is "partial 16S ribosomal RNA". It matches the Rfam family "Bacterial small subunit ribosomal RNA", at positions 28 to 507 of the family's 1533-position model. The record is from RNAcentral.